This 253-nucleotide ribosomal RNA is filed under the name uncultured bacterium. RNAcentral describes it as "partial 16S ribosomal RNA". It matches the Rfam family "Bacterial small subunit ribosomal RNA", at positions 524 to 776 of the family's 1533-position model. The record is from RNAcentral.
UACGUAGGGUGCAAGCGUUAUCCGGAUUUAUUGGGCGUAAAGGGCUCGUAGGCGGUUCAUCGCGUCCGGUGUGAAAGUCCAUCGCUUAACGGUGGAUCCGCGCCGGGUACGGGCGGGCUUGAGUGCGGUAGGGGAGACUGGAAUUCCCGGUGUAACGGUGGAAUGUGUAGAUAUCGGGAAGAACACCAAUGGCGAAGGCAGGUCUCUGGGCCGUUACUGACGCUGAGGAGCGAAAGCGUGGGGAGCGAACAGG